GACGAACGCUGGCGGCGUGCUUAACACAUACAAGUCGAACGGUGAAGCGCCUUCCUUUUUGGUGGGUGUGGAUGAGUGGCGAACGGGUGAGUAACACGUGAGUAACCUGCCCCCUUCUUCUGGAUAACCGCAUGAAAGUGUGGCUAAUACGGGAUAUUCUGGGUCUGUCGCAUGAUGGGUCUGGGAAAGAUAUUGUUUCGGUGGGGGAUGGGCUCGCGGCCUAUCAGCUUGUUGGUGGGGUGAUGGCCUACCAAGGCGGUGACGGGUAGCCGGCCUGAGAGGGUGGACGGUCACACUGGGACUGAGACACGGCCCAGACUCCUACGGGAGGCAGCAGUGGGGAAUAUUGCACAAUGGGCGCAAGCCUGAUGCAGCGACGCCGCGUGAGGGAUGGAGGCCUUCGGGUUGUGAACCUCUUUCGCCAGUGAAGCAGGCCUGCCUCGUUUGUGGGUGGGUUGACGGUAGCUGGAUAAGAAGCGCCGGCUAACUACGUG
Molecule: ribosomal RNA, 494 nt
Filed under: uncultured bacterium
Lineage: Bacteria
Description: partial 16S ribosomal RNA
Rfam family: Bacterial small subunit ribosomal RNA
Source: RNAcentral